CGGUAAUUCCAGCUCCAAUAGCGUAUACUAAAGUUGUUGCAGUUAAAAAGCUCGUAGUUGGAUUUCUGCGGGGACGGAGCGGCCGGUCGCAACUUGCGACUCGAGCUAGCGCUUUCCCCGCAUCCUGCCGCGAACCGUGCUACCAUUAGUUUGGUGGCGCUGGGGAUCGGCUCGAUUACUUUGAGAAAAAUAGAGUGUUCAAAGCAGGCCACACGCCUUGAAUAAGUUAGCAUGGAAUAAUGACUAAGGACUUUGGUUCUUUUCGUUGGUGUUCGGGACUGAAGUAAUGAUUGAUAGGGACAGUUGGGGCGGUCCGUAUUCCAAAGCGAGAGGUGAAAUUCUUAGACCUUCGGAAGACGAACAGCUGCGAAAGCGUUCCGCAAGGAUGUUCCCUUUGAUCAAGAACGAAAGUUGGGGGAUCGAAGACGAUCAGAUACCGUCGUAGUCUCAACUAUAAACUAUACCAGCUAGGGAUCGGCCAACGUUUAAUUAUUCGACUUGGUCGGCACCUUAUGAGAAAUCAAAGCAUCUGGGUUCCGGGGGGAGUAUGGUCGCAAGGCUGAAACUUAAAGGAAUUGACGGAAGGGCACCACCAGCCGUGGAGCCUGUGGCUUAAUUUGACUCAACACGGGAAAACUUACCAGGUCCGGACAUAGUAAGGAUUGACAGAUUGAUAGCUCUUUCUUGAUUCUGUGGGUGGUGGUGCAUGGCCGUUUUUAGUAGGUGGAUGUGAUCUGUCUGCUUAAUUGCGUUAACGGACGAGACCCCAGCCUGCUAAAUAGCGCGGCCGAGCUUUGCUCGGUGCGAGCUUCUUAGAGGGACCAUGAUGCGCGAUAGCACAAGGAAGUUUGGGGCAACAGCAGGUCUGUGAUGCCCUUAGAUGUUCUGGGCCGCACACGGGCUACACUGGCGCCUGCAACGAGCAUAUCAGCUGGCCCGAGAGGGUCUUGGCUAAUCUUUGGAACCGGCGCCGUGCUUGGGAUUGACCAUUGCAAUUGUUGGUCAUGCAACGAGGAAUGCCUUGUAAACGCGAGUCAUCAGCUCGCAUUGAAUACGUCCCUGCCCUUUGUACACACCGCCCGUCGCUCCUACCGAUGAAUGUUCCGAUGAAAUUUUCGGAGAGCGCCGGAGAACGGGGCUCCGCCCUGCAGAACUGGAGGCUCAAAGUCACUUAAAUCUGAACAUUUCGAGGAAGGAGAAGUCGUAACAAGGUAGCCG
This 1218-nucleotide ribosomal RNA is filed under the name uncultured Rhizaria. RNAcentral's name for it is "SSU rRNA". It matches the Rfam family "Eukaryotic small subunit ribosomal RNA", at positions 577 to 1805 of the family's 1831-position model. The record is from RNAcentral.